Molecule: ribosomal RNA, 459 nt
Filed under: uncultured bacterium
Lineage: Bacteria
Description: partial 16S ribosomal RNA
Rfam family: Bacterial small subunit ribosomal RNA
Source: RNAcentral
CCUACGGGAGGCAGCAGUGAGGAAUAUUGGUCAAUGGGCGCGAGCCUGAACCAGCCAAGUAGCGUGAAGGAUGACUGCCCUACGGGUUGUAAACUUCUUUUAUAAAGGAAUAAAGUGAGGCACGUGUGCCUUUUUGUAUGUACUUUAUGAAUAAGGAUCGGCUAACUCCGUGCCAGCAGCCGCGGUAAUACGGAGGAUCCGAGCGUUAUCCGGAUUUAUUGGGUUUAAAGGGUGCGUAGGCGGAAUGCCAAGUCAGCGGUAAAAGCGCGGGGCUCAACCUCGCUCCGCCGUUGAAACUGGCGUGCUUGAGUGGGCGAGAGGUAUGCGGAAUGCGUGGUGUAGCGGUGAAAUGCAUAGAUAUCACGCAGAACUCCGAUUGCGAAGGCAGCAUACCGGCGCCCAACUGACGCUGAAGCACGAAAGCGUGGGUAUCGAACAGGAUUAGAUACCCUUGUAGUC